This 642-nucleotide ribosomal RNA is filed under the name uncultured bacterium. Its description in RNAcentral is "bacterial SSU rRNA". It matches the Rfam family "Bacterial small subunit ribosomal RNA", at positions 8 to 616 of the family's 1533-position model. The record is from RNAcentral.
AGAGUUUGAUCCUGGCUCAGGAUGAACGCUGGCGGCGUGCCUAAUACAUGCAAGUCGAACGAAACUUCUUUAUCACCGAGUGCUUGCACUCACCGAUAAAGAGUUGAGUGGCGAACGGGUGAGUAACACGUGGGCAACCUGCCCAAAAGAGGGGGAUAACACUUGGAAACAGGUGCUAAUACCGCAUAACCAUAGUUACCGCAUGGUAACUAUGUAAAAGGUGGCUAUGCUACCGCUUUUGGAUGGGCCCGCGGCGCAUUAGCUAGUUGGUGAGGUAAAGGCUUACCAAGGCAAUGAUGCGUAGCCGAACUGAGAGGUUGAUCGGCCACAUUGGGACUGAGACACGGCCCAAACUCCUACGGGAGGCAGCAGUAGGGAAUCUUCCACAAUGGGCGAAAGCCCGAUGGAGCAACGCCGCGUGGGUGAAGAAGGUCUUCGGAUCGUAAAACCCUGUUGUUAGAGAAGAAAGUGCGUGAGAGUAACUGUUCACGUUUCGACGGUAUCUAACCAGAAAGCCACGGCUAACUACGUGCCAGCAGCCGCGGUAAUACGUAGGUGGCAAGCGUUAUCCGGAUUUAUUGGGCGUAAAGGAAACGCAGGCGGUCUUUUAAGUCUGAUGUGAAAAGCCUUCGGCUUAACCGG